This 256-nucleotide long non-coding RNA is filed under the name Capsella grandiflora. RNAcentral's name for it is "long non-coding RNA (CGRA_LNC001565)". The record is from RNAcentral. Lineage: Eukaryota; Viridiplantae; Streptophyta; Magnoliopsida; Brassicales; Brassicaceae.
ACAUAUAUUCCCAAUCCUUGACCUAUCAUCAUCGGCCUGUGAGUACAUAGGAAACAUAAAUAGAAUCUCUCACCAUAAAUUCCCAAAUUUAAAUCAUGGGCAUGCCUACGUUCUUUAUCUACAGAGAUAAUAUCAAGAUCGAGAACAAAUUGACUUCUAUAUUUCAUAGCAACAAAACUACAAAAGCCAAAAGAAGAUGCAGAAGAAUCUAGAGUUUGACUACGAAGCUCCUAGUUAAAGAUUCCUUCUUACCUCG